Molecule: long non-coding RNA, 2963 nt
Filed under: Sorghum bicolor (sorghum)
Lineage: Eukaryota; Viridiplantae; Streptophyta; Magnoliopsida; Poales; Poaceae
Description: long non-coding RNA (SBIC_LNC003148)
Source: RNAcentral
CUCCAUUCUUCUCAGGGACGGUUGACUGGGGGCUCCGUACGCCAAGCACUUCUGACAAGCUUCUCAAAAACUCCAUAACAUCUUUGUCCUUCUUCUGAGCAGCACUUUACUACACACUGGGGUGUGGGGGAAAUAGCAAGGGUGAGUUCAUGUCGAACUCAACAAGUACAGGCGGAAAGUAUAAUGACAUGCAAGGCUUAAUCAAAGGAAAAGCUGACACUGUUUGACUGCAGGUGAGCUUUUAAGUUGAUAAACUUUUAUUACAACUCUAUUAUUAAAACAACCUAUUACUAAAUAUGGGUAAAGCAUCCCAACCCUUAAUUAGGUGAAAGUAAAUUAGCAUCUUUUAAAAGACUAUCCUAAUCAUCAUAGUAAUCCAGGGAUUAACUCCAAUUAUUAACACAGGAUAGCAAUCCUGCCAACACGGAAUAGCCAUUCCGCCAAAACACGAGGUAGCAACCUCGCCAAGGUCCAUCUCCAAGUAUCCAGUGAAUCCAAUUUGCUCAUCAAGUGAGGGUCUGGGCCGCUCGUGACCGUGAGCACGGCUGAUAUAUCAGUUUUACACUCUGUAGAGGUGUGCACGUUCACUCCAAGUCGUGAUUCCCAUUCGCCCGGGGUCGCGACUCCCCAAAACACUACCAAGGUGAGCAGGCAGGGUUUCACUACGAGACCUUUCACAGGGUCCAACUAAUAGGAUGCCACUCGUAAGUUUUUGCCGGGGCGCGCGGCAGUCGUGCCCAUAGCAAUGGGACCCCGAACUGACCGACCUCUUAAUAUGAAUACCCAAGCUACAUUCCUUACGCCUACCCGGAAAGUAACACCCUACCAGCGGAGGUCCUGAUAAUUAGUCAAGCCAGAGCCCAUAUAGCUUGGAGCUGCACUGUAAGUCUCAGGGGGCCGCUCCCUGACUAAGUCCUUACGGAGAGCAGAGACGGGUACGCCCGGCAAACCGGACCACCAACAGUACCCGCUCCCCCUGUCCUCAACCAAAACACGAUGCUCGCAAGCACCGCAACAUCUCCAUCACCGAAGUGACCAUUGUUCACCAUUUAAUCAUUAAUCAUCAUUGAAGAAUUUAUUAAGCAAGAUCAUUAUUUUUAUUAUUAUAUAGAUUAGAUGAGUAGAGCAACUAAGCAUAUCUACUGUUCACUAUACUACCCAUGUAUAAACCCAGGCAUACAAGGAAUAUAGUAGAAGACUAGUCAUGUCCUUAGGGUUUGCAAUAUUAAGACACAUGCAAUGGAAAGUAAAUGUAUUUAAAGUUCAUAGGUACAAUAUGAUCAAAGGGUGCCUGCACUUGCCUUUAUUCCCAGUGUAUAUCUGCUCAAAAUUCUUUGACUUCUUUCUUCUGAUCUCCAACUUCUGCUUCGACUGUCGGUCCUCAGCUCCUGAUCUUCACUGUUGAUGAACCACGCUUCUACUCGUAGCAACCAAGCAACACAAACAGACAAACAAACAAUCAUGACUAAGAACAAACGACAAUCAAAAGAGAAGCUUAGAAAGAGCGCUCUAACGAUACGACUUAUUGCUACGAUCGAGACAACGUAAGAACGUUUAAGAACGGAGCUAUAGUUUAUCGGACACGACUUUCGAGGUUCGAAGCGCAACGAAGAAGACCAACUAUUCGCUUGAUCUAUUUUAUUUGAUGAAGAGAGGUGAUAGACUUUUUAGAGAAACAACUCAAAAAGUGGAAUUAAACAAAUUAUAAUUAUAAAAAGAUGAAGUAUAGUUCUAGUCAUACUCUAUUUAUAAAUAAUUAUAGAAAUUAUUUAAACUAUUUUAGCAUUCAUAGCUUAGAGAAUAUAAAAUGAGUGAUAGCAACUUAAUUAGAAUCACUAUUUAUUUUCAAAGUUAAACGGAGCAAGUCAUAACUAACACGGCAUUUAUGUUGAUAUUAUAUAAUUAAUAUGAUUUAUGAAAGAUCGGAGAUAAACCUAAACUACUUCAAAUUCAAAAAGACAUUGAAUAACUACUAAUUAAAUUCAUUUAAAACAACUUUAUAUGAUCAUAUUUGAACAAGACAAAUUAGUAAUUGAUAAAUACACAUUUAAGUUGACAAGUAAUUAUAAAAAGGUCAAUAUUUUCAUAUGUUACAUUUAUUUAGAAACAAAUAUGUGCAAUCAUUAAUCAAAUUAUGUUGAAUUAUAAAAACCAGAGUUAAACUUUAGUUAUAUUUUAAUUGUAGAUGAUUAUAUAUCAUUUAAGCCAUUUACGUCUUUGUAAUUUUAGAAACAUAAAGCAAGUAAGAGCAGCUAAUCAAAUCCUAACAUGCGUCGCAUUUAUAUUAAACAAGUUAUAACUAAUAAAGAACCAUUUAAGUUGAUAUUAAUAAUGUUAACAUUUAUUUAUUUAUAAAAGAUCUAAAUUAUAAACAUAAGUUACUUUUAAUCUAGAAAGACAUUAAAUAAAUAUUAAACAAAUUAAUUAUAUACUUUAUGUCUAACUAAAAGAAUUAUAAUUAAUAAAUAUUUAAGUUAACAUUAAUCAAGUUAAUAUUAGAUUAUAAAAAUACCAAAGUGUAAACCUAAAUUGUUUUUUUAUUAAUAAAAAAUGAUACUCAAUAAAAAUUAAUUAAACUAAUUAUAUUUAUAAACAUGGGACAUGGAAAACAGUAUCGCUAACAAGUCAUUUACGUUGCCAUGGUCAUAAAACAAUAGAAAUCAUGAUUACAACUCUAUAUUGCUUUUAAUUAUAGAUUUAGGUGCAUAUAUUAAUUAAUCUAAUAUUCAACUAAAUAUAUAUAAAAAUAUAUGACAUAAUAAAAGUUAGCACUACUGCGUAGAGCGCGACGUUACGAAACUAACGCAAUUGAAACGGAACAAAACGAAGUUAAAAUGAAUAAACUAUUGCUAUUUUUAUUCAGUGGCAAAAUCGUAAUUAACACCUUCUUCUACCUUUGGUCAUCUGGAUCACGUACGCACCAUCUGGUGCUUGUGCAGGGAAGCAGAGGGGCGCCGGCUUGG